UACGAAGGGGGCUAGCGUUGUUCGGAAUCACUGGGCGUAAAGCGCACGUAGGCGGAUUUUAAGUCAGGGUGAAUCCGAGGCUCAACCUCGGAACUGCCUUGAUACUGGGAUCUCGAGUCCGGAAGAGGUUGGUGGAACUGCGAGUGUAGAGGUGAAAUUCGUAGAUAUUCGCAAGAACACCAGUGGCGAAAGGCGGCUCACUGGCCCGGUACUGACGCUGAGGUGCGAAAGCGUGGGGAGCAAACAGG
Molecule: ribosomal RNA, 248 nt
Filed under: uncultured bacterium
Lineage: Bacteria
Description: partial 16S ribosomal RNA
Rfam family: Bacterial small subunit ribosomal RNA
Source: RNAcentral